This 251-nucleotide long non-coding RNA is filed under the name Ananas comosus (pineapple). RNAcentral's name for it is "long non-coding RNA (ACOM_LNC025095)". The record is from RNAcentral. Lineage: Eukaryota; Viridiplantae; Streptophyta; Magnoliopsida; Poales; Bromeliaceae.
AAUCAAGUACAAUUAUAUUAGCACAAAAUCUUUUAAAAAUAUACUUUUACUAUUAUCUAAAAAUAAUAUAUUAAUUAUAAUUCGAAUUUUUUUUGUUGAAAGAAUAGUAUCGUGCUAUCUGUUUCAUUUAUUUUUUAAAAAAUAAAUUUAGCUUGACAUGUGAAUCAAAUAGAAUUUGAACUUGAGAACUUAAUAAAUUUUUAUGAUACCAAAUUUAACUUCAUUUGUAAAAUAGUCCCGUUCACUUAAAA